GACACAGCUCUGCAUGAAGCAGCUUAUCCAUGCUUUCCGAUCUCUUGUCUUUUUUUUUUCUCCCUUUCUCCCUCCCUUGCUCUGUCUCUCAUUCAUUCCCUCUCCCAUCUUUUGGCCAUCGAGCCAGAUAAAUUUAAAUUUAUUGGGCUCCGAAUCUGUCCGAGUGGAGUUAAUCCAUGCAAAUCAGAAGCCCUGGCUGUCCAUGCUUGAUUCACAAAGAGGACUCAGCUACAGGAGGUCACUGGUUCCCAGCUGCUCCUCCCAUUAUAUUUUCUUCCCCCCCUUAUUGCAGAACUGCUAUAUGUAUACAGGGACUGAAAGGAUCCAAUUUACUGCAACUGCUGCCUGGCUUUUACUUACAACUUUGUUUGAAGGAACUUACCUUCCAUCUGUCUUUGCAAGGUGACAAAUCAUUUACUUUCUCUGAACAUCUCAUCUGGUCCUAAGGAACAUGAAGCCUACUAGACCCAGGCACUGCUGUCAGCUGCUGCUGGACUGGAGAUGCUGCUAGAAUGCC
RNAcentral lists this long non-coding RNA (517 nucleotides) under Sarcophilus harrisii (Tasmanian devil). RNAcentral's name for it is "lncRNA (ENSSHAG00000026662.1)". The record is from RNAcentral. Lineage: Eukaryota; Metazoa; Chordata; Mammalia; Dasyuromorphia; Dasyuridae.